AUUGAACGCUGGCGGAAUGCUUUACACAUGCAAGUCGAACGGCAGCACGGACUUCGGUCUGGUGGCGAGUGGCGAACGGGUGAGUAAUGUAUCGGAACGUGCCCAGUCGUGGGGGAUAACGUAGUGAAAAUUACGCUAAUACCGCAUACGAUCUAUGGAUGAAAGCGGGGGAUCGCAAGACCUCGCGCGAUUGGAGCGGCCGAUAUCAGAUUAGGUAGUUGGUGGGGUAAAGGCCCACCAAGCCAACGAUCUGUAGCUGGGCUGAGAGGACGACCAGCCACACUGGAACUGAUACACGGCCCAGACUCCUACGGGAGGCAGCAGUGGGGAAUUUUGGACAAUGGGCGAAAGCCUGAUCCAGCCAUUCCGCGUGCAGGAUGAAGGCCCUCGGGUUGUAAACUGCUUUUGUACAGAACGAAAAGGUUUCUACUAAUACUAGGAGCUCACGACGGUACUGUAAGAAUAAGCACCGGCUAACUACGUGCCAGCCGCCGCGGUAA
This 500-nucleotide ribosomal RNA is filed under the name uncultured bacterium. RNAcentral's name for it is "partial 16S ribosomal RNA". It matches the Rfam family "Bacterial small subunit ribosomal RNA", at positions 30 to 523 of the family's 1533-position model. The record is from RNAcentral.